This is a non-coding RNA of Misgurnus anguillicaudatus (oriental weatherfish), 546 nucleotides long. The record is from RefSeq and is a predicted model, not a curated record. NCBI's taxonomy places the organism in Eukaryota, Metazoa, Chordata, Actinopteri, Cypriniformes, Cobitidae.
UGCGGCUUUCACAUAGGAUGCGGUGUGCGCUGCGCUCGCCGCUGGGUUCGGCGCAGCCAAGCGAUUUGUGCUCUGAUGGCCAGACCAAAGUAGGCGGGGUUUUCAAUAAAUUACUACAGUGUUUAUAUUUGCGUUAAAUAGUCGACGAGGAAUACAGAGACUGAUGUUGCUCGUCUCCAUUUCACGUAACUUUAAGCAUACCUACAACAAGCUGCUUGACUUAAAACACACCUGACAUGCCAACUUGAAUUGCUACGUGUUUCUAUGAGACGGCUUUCCUUCCGAUGUCUCUGUAGGAGCAUAAACUUGUAUUAUAAAGCCCUGAGAAUCCCGAGUAUAAGCUUUCGUCCAUUUUGCUUGUUUGGAGCGCAGCGCAAAAGUUAAACUAUGUUGAACUUUGACCGCGGCGUGAGCGCAAGCUGCGCUCCGCUGCGCUCGCGCUUUGCUCGGCGCAACAAAAAACCGCCCUCGCGCGGCGCAAGCCAUUGAAAUGAAUGGGUUUCAUAGCGCAGCGCACACCGCAUCCUAUGUGAAAGCCGCAUAACA